UACGAAGGGGGCUAGCGUUGCUCGGAAUUACUGGGCGUAAAGCGCACGUAGGCGGCUUUCUAAGUCGGGGGUGAAAUCCUGGAGCUCAACUCCAGAACUGCCUUCGAUACUGGAGAGCUCGAGUCCGGGAGAGGUGAGUGGAACUGCGAGUGUAGAGGUGAAAUUCGUAGAUAUUAGCAAGAACACCGAUGGCGAAGGCAGCCCCCUGGGCUGAGAUUGACGCUCAGGCACGAAAGCGUGGGGAGCAAACAGG
Molecule: ribosomal RNA, 253 nt
Filed under: uncultured bacterium
Lineage: Bacteria
Description: partial 16S ribosomal RNA
Rfam family: Bacterial small subunit ribosomal RNA
Source: RNAcentral